AGAGUUUGAUCAUGGCUCAGAAUCAACGCUGGCGGCGUGCCUCAGACAUGCAAGUCGAACGCGAAAGUUUCCUUCGGGAGACAAGUAGAGUGGCGCACGGGUGAGUAACACGUAGGUAAUCUACCUCUGAGUGGGGAAUAACCAUCGGAAACGAUGGCUAAUACCGCAUAACAUCGCAAGAUUAAAGCUUUAGUGCUUGGAGAGGAGCCUGCGGCAGAUUAGCUAGUUGGUAAGGUAAUGGCUUACCAAGGCGACGAUCUGUAUCCGGCCUGAGAGGGCGGUCGGACACACUGACACUGAAUAACGGGUCAGACUCCUACGGGAGGCAGCAGUCGGGAAUCUUGGGCAAUGGGCGAAAGCCUGACCCAGCAACGCCGCGUGAAGGAUGAAGUCCUUCGGGAUGUAAACUUCGGAAGUAUGGGAAGAAUAAAUGACGGUACCAUAUCUAAGCCCCGGCUAACUCUGUGCCAGCCGCCGCGGUAAUAC
RNAcentral lists this ribosomal RNA (486 nucleotides) under uncultured bacterium. RNAcentral's name for it is "bacterial SSU rRNA". It matches the Rfam family "Bacterial small subunit ribosomal RNA", at positions 8 to 526 of the family's 1533-position model. The record is from RNAcentral.